Molecule: unclassified non-coding RNA, 320 nt
Filed under: uncultured fungus
Lineage: Eukaryota; Fungi
Description: partial contains 5.8S ribosomal RNA and internal transcribed spacer 2
Rfam family: 5.8S ribosomal RNA (bases 1-133)
Source: RNAcentral
UGGCUCUGGCAUCGAUGAAGAACGCAGCGAAAUGCGAUAAGUAGUGUGAAUUGCAGAAUUCAGUGAAUCAUCGAAUCUUUGAACGCACAUUGCGCCCCUUGGUAUUCCAUGGGGCAUGCCUGUUCGAGCGUCAUCUACACCCUCAAGCUCUGCUUGGUGUUGGGCGUCUGUCCCGCCUUUGCGCGUGGACUCGCCCCAAAUUCAUUGGCAGCGGUUCUGGCCUCCUCUCGCGCAGCACAUUGCGCUUCUCGAGUUGUUGCGAACCGCGUCCAGCAAGUGACACCGUCUUUGACCUCGGAUCAGGUAGGGAUACCCGCUGA